ACUCAAAUGAAUAGACGGGACUCCGCACAAGCAGUGGAGCAUGUGGUUUAAUUCGAUGCUACGCGAAGAACCUUACCUGGGCUUGACAUCCCGGUCGUACGUCUAAGAAAUUAGGCGGUCAGUUCGGCUGGACCGGUGACAGGUGCUGCAUGGCCGUCGUCAGCUCGUGUCGUGAGAUGUUGGGUUAAGUCCCGCAACGAGCGCAACCCUUGUCGUGUGUUGUAUUUUUUACACGAGACUGCCCGGGCCAACCGGGAGGAAGGUGGGGAUGACGUCAGGUCAGCAUGGCCCUUAUCGUCCAGGGCCACACACGUGCUACAAUGGCCGGCACAAUGGGCAUGCCAACCCGCAAGGGGGAGCUAAUCCCAUCAAAACCGGUCUCAGUUCGGAUUGCAGGCUGCAACUCGCCUGCAUGAAGUUGGAAUUGCUAGUAACCGUGGGUCAGCAUACCACGGUGAAUACGUUCUCGGAGUUUGUACACACCGCCCGU
Molecule: ribosomal RNA, 490 nt
Filed under: uncultured bacterium
Lineage: Bacteria
Description: partial 16S ribosomal RNA
Rfam family: Bacterial small subunit ribosomal RNA
Source: RNAcentral